This 460-nucleotide ribosomal RNA is filed under the name uncultured bacterium. RNAcentral's name for it is "partial 16S ribosomal RNA". It matches the Rfam family "Bacterial small subunit ribosomal RNA", at positions 338 to 795 of the family's 1533-position model. The record is from RNAcentral.
CCUACGGGGAGCAGCAGUGAGGAAUAUUGGUCAAUGGGCGGAAGCCUGAACCAGCCAAGUCGCGUGAGGGAUGAAGGUACUAUGGAUCGUAAACCUCUUUUAUAAGGGAAUAAAGUGUGGGACGUGUCCCGUUUUGUAUGUACCUUAUGAAUAAGGAUCGGCUAACUCCGUGCCAGCAGCCGCGGUAAUACGGAGGAUACGAGCGUUAUCCGGAUUUAUUGGGUUGAAAGGGUGCGUAGGCGGCCUGUUAAGUCAGCGGGGAAAGUCUGUGGCCCAACCAGAGGAUUGCCGUUGAAACUGGGAGGUUUGAGUUUGUUUGAGGCAGGCGGAAUGCGGGGUGUCGCGGUGAAAUGCUUAGAUAUCACGCAGAACCCCGAUUGCGAAGGCAGCCUGCCAAGCCAUGACUGACGCUGAUGCACGAAAGCGUGGGUAUCAAACAGGAUUAGAUACCCCAGUAGUC